Molecule: ribosomal RNA, 252 nt
Filed under: uncultured bacterium
Lineage: Bacteria
Description: partial 16S ribosomal RNA
Rfam family: Bacterial small subunit ribosomal RNA
Source: RNAcentral
GUCCGCGCCGUAACGAUGAUUACUCGUUGUGUGCGAUAUACCGCACGUGACUGAGCGAAGCAUUAAGUAAUCCACCUGGGGAGUACAGUCGCAAGACUGAACUCAAGGAAUUGACGGGCCCGGCACAAGCGGAGGAACAUGUGGUUAAUUCGAUGAUACGCGAGGAACCUUACCCGGGCUUAAAUGCAGAGCGAUCGGAGCCGAAAGGUUCUUCCCUUCGGGGCGAUUUGCAAGGUGCUGCAUGGCUGUCGU